This 989-nucleotide non-coding RNA is filed under the name Dictyocaulus viviparus (bovine lungworm). RNAcentral's name for it is "Eukaryotic large subunit ribosomal RNA". It matches the Rfam family "Eukaryotic large subunit ribosomal RNA", at positions 2018 to 2988 of the family's 3401-position model. Lineage: Eukaryota; Metazoa; Nematoda; Chromadorea; Rhabditida; Metastrongylidae. The record is from Rfam by way of RNAcentral.
GAAAACAAAGUAUUAGGGAAGAAUAUUCAUGAAAUUAAGAAAGCGUCAACUUUGAAGCAAUUAGCAGAACCUGUGGAGUGCUCAAAUAGUAAACUUCGACACCACAUGUAUAUAUGUGAUGAUGUUAGUUGGACUAGUGACAAGACUGUCCCGUAAGCGUUCACAGAUGUGUGCUUUGUUUUCGUAAUAAGUGUCCUGAUCGAGCAAUAGAGUAGUCGAGCUAGAACUAGUAGGGACUCGUGGAAUCCGAUUGUCUAAUUGAAUCAGAUGGGACAUGAUUGUUGCGGACGUUUACUGCUGAUUUCUGCCCAGUGCUCUGAAUGUUAAAUCAUAGUAAUUCGAGUAAGCGCGAGUUAACGCCGUGAAAGAAUGUGACGUUCUUAAGAUAGACAAAUGUCUCGUCAGCUGACUACUGACCCGUAUGAAUAUAUUAACAAGAUUCUGACUAUCCCUAACUACUAUCUAACGGAACCGCAGCCAAAGGAACGGGCUGGGCAAAAAUAGCGGGGAAAGAAGAACCUGUUGAGAAUGACAGUUUGACAUUGCGAGGAAUCAUGAGAGGUAUAGUAUAGGUGGGUGAUUAAUGAUUAGUAGUCGAUGAUCGACAAUGAAAUACCACCACUUUCAUCGAUUUUUCACUUAUUCGGUAAGAAGAGGAUUGAGUUUUGACUCUUUAUCUGUCUUAUUGUUGUCCUAUCUACUUUAUUUGUUAUAAGUACGGUCAUCUGGUAACUAUACGACUCUCAUCGAAGAUAGUGUCAGGCGGGAAACUUCACUGGAGCUGUACAUCCGUUAAAAUGUAACGCAGAUGUCCUAAGGUUAGCUCAGUGAGGCGGAGUAGAAGGGAAAAAGGUCGCUCGAUCUUGACUUUCAGUACGAGUACAGACCGCGGAAACUUAGCCCAUCAAUCCUUUUAAUCCAGAUAGUUUACCGUAAAGGAUGUCGAAAAAGUUACCACAGACACAGAUUUUAAAUUGAGCUCUUAAGAU